UACAGAGGGUGCGAGCGUUAAUCGGAAUUACUGGGCGUAAAGCGCGCGUAGGCGGCUUUGCAAGUCGGGUGUGAAAUCCCCAGGCUUAACCUGGGAACUGCAUUCGAGACUGCAUUGCUAGAGUAUGGGAGAGGGAAGUGGAAUUUCCGGUGUAGCGGUGAAAUGCGUAGAUAUCGGGAGGAACACCUGUGGCGAAAGCGGCGCACUGGACCACAACUGACGCUGAGGCGCGAAAGCUAGGGGAGCAAACAGG
Molecule: ribosomal RNA, 253 nt
Filed under: uncultured bacterium
Lineage: Bacteria
Description: partial 16S ribosomal RNA
Rfam family: Bacterial small subunit ribosomal RNA
Source: RNAcentral